UAACGUUUGUCUGGCUCAUCCUGGGGCGGUAAGUCUGUGNCAUGCUUAACACAUUGCAAGUCGAGCGGGGAAGUGGUAGCUUGCUACCUGACCUAGCGGCGGACGGGUGAGUAAUGCUUAGGAAUCUGCCUAUUAGUGGGGGACAACAUCUCGAAAGUGGAUGCUAAUACCGCAUACGUCCUACGUGGAGAAAGCAGUGGUGAUCUUCGGACCUUGCGCUAAUAGAUGAGCCUAAGUCGGAUUAGCUAGUUGUGUGGGUGUAAAGGCCUACCAAUNGCGACGAUCUGUAGCGGGUCUGAGAGGAUGAUCCGCCACACUGGUGACUGAGACACGGCCCAGACUCCUACGUGGAUGUGCAGCAGUGGGGAAUAUUGGACAAUGGGUGGGAACCCUGAUCCAGCCAUGCCGCGUGUGUGAAGAAGGCCUUAUGGUUGUAAAGCACUUUAAGCGAGGAGGAGGCUACUUUAGUUAAUACCUAGAGAUAGUGGACGUUACUCGCAGAAUAAGCACCGGCUAACUCUGUGCCAGCAGCCGCGGUAAUACAGAGGGUUGCAAAGCGUUAAUCCGGAUUACUGGGCGUUAAAGCGCGCCGUAAGGCGGGCUAAUUAAUUCCACUUUGUUGAAAAUUCCCGGAGCUUAACUUGGGAAUUGCCUUUCCGAUACUG
Molecule: ribosomal RNA, 665 nt
Filed under: uncultured bacterium
Lineage: Bacteria
Description: bacterial SSU rRNA
Rfam family: Bacterial small subunit ribosomal RNA
Source: RNAcentral